RNAcentral lists this unclassified non-coding RNA (329 nucleotides) under soil metagenome. RNAcentral's name for it is "partial contains 5.8S ribosomal RNA, internal transcribed spacer 2, and large subunit ribosomal RNA". The stretch from base 1 to 120 matches the Rfam family "5.8S ribosomal RNA", at positions 35 to 154 of the family's 154-position model. The record is from RNAcentral.
GAUGAAGAUCGUAGCGAAAUGCGAUAAGUAGUGUGAAUUGCAGAAUUCAGUGAAUCAUCGAAUCUUUGAACGCACAUUGCGCCCCUUGGUAUCCCGAGGGGCAUGCCUGUUCGAGCGUCAUUUCACCACUCAAGCCUGGCUUGGUGUUGGGCGACGUCCUCUUUGGGGACGCGCCUCGAAACGCUCGGCGGCGUGGCACCGGCUUUAAGCGUAGCAGAAUCUUUCGCUUUGGAAGUCGGGGCCCCGUCUGCCGGAAGACCUGCUCGCAAGGUUGACCUCGGAUCAGGCAGGGAUACCCGCUGAACUUAAGCAUAUCAAUAAGCGGAGGA